GCUGGGAUAGCUCAGUUGGUAGAGCAUGAGACUCUUAAUCUCGAGGCUGUGGGUUCAAGCCCCAUGUUGGGCA
Molecule: transfer RNA, 73 nt
Filed under: Podarcis lilfordi (Lilford's wall lizard)
Lineage: Eukaryota; Metazoa; Chordata; Lepidosauria; Squamata; Lacertidae
Rfam family: tRNA
About the family: Transfer RNA (tRNA) molecules are approximately 80 nucleotides in length. Their secondary structure includes four short double-helical elements and three loops (D, anti-codon, and T loops). Further hydrogen bonds mediate the characteristic L-shaped molecular structure. tRNAs have two regions of fundamental functional importance: the anti-codon, which is responsible for specific mRNA codon recognition, and the 3' end, to which the tRNAs corresponding amino acid is attached (by aminoacyl-tRNA synthetases). tRNAs cope with the degeneracy of the genetic code in two manners: having more than one tRNA (with a specific anti-codon) for a particular amino acid; and 'wobble' base-pairing, i.e. permitting non-standard base-pairing at the 3rd anti-codon position.
Source: Rfam by way of RNAcentral